UUGUCUCUCUAGGCUUAGCCUACAGCACUCAUCAUUACACAGCCAAAAUACAUUAGGCCACAGGGAAUAUCAUGAAUGAAACUGGGGAUGAAUCUGACGUUAGCCACUGCAGCCUUGUGACCUGUGUGUCAAGAGAAGGAGGAGAUGCCCCAGUGAGAAAGCCAGAAGAGGCCUUGACUGGAAACAAAGGCAGGAAGCCCAAGCAGCAGAGAGCGGUGAAACAAACUUUUGUUUUCUAGGAGGAUUGUUCAAGAGGACCCCAAAGGCAAUAUCCACAUGGAAGUUUGGGUGGAGCAGGAGCAUAAGAACAAGGAGUCAAACCACUGAGAGGAGGGCAGUCCUAAUGGACUAUUCUUUACAUCACCCGUCUCCUGAACUCUGCCCUUUCAGAAAUUGAGUGCGACCCCAGAAGAUAAGAAGUGGUCGACCUCUAAAGGUGGAUAGGGUGCCCCGUCCCCUUCUAAACCCAAGCCCCUUUUCCAGGGCCAGGGUGAACCCCGCAGGCAGUGCUCCGGUAGUGCUGUCCUCUUCCCUCCUACAUCCCAGAGGUCUGGUGCGGCGGCAGUGCACCCUGCUUCUGAUAAAUGCAAAGUGAAGGCAAUACCCAAGAAACUAGCAGAGAAAAGUGGACCAAAUAAAGUGAAUCCCAACCUGGGCAAUAUCAUGAGCUUUGUCCCACGACUAAACUCUCAAAACCAUCCAGGG
Molecule: long non-coding RNA, 705 nt
Organism: Oncorhynchus tshawytscha (Chinook salmon)
Lineage: Eukaryota; Metazoa; Chordata; Actinopteri; Salmoniformes; Salmonidae
Source: Ensembl